CCCUUAGAUGUUCUGGGCCGCACGCGCGCUACACUGAUGCAUUCAACGAGUUUCUUCCUGGUCCGAGAGGAAUGGGUAACCUUUUGAAAGUGCAUCGUGAUAGGGAUAGACUAUUGCAAUUAUUGGUCUUCAACGAGGAAUUCCUAGUAAACGCAAGUCAUCAACUUGCAUUGAUUACGUCCCUGCCCUUUGUACACACCGCCCGUCGCACCUACCGAUUGAAUGGUCCGGUGAAGCCUCCGGAUUGGCGCGCACCUCGGUGCCGCCGAGAAGUUGGCUAAACCUUACCAUUUAGAGGAAGGUGAAGUCGUAACA
This 315-nucleotide ribosomal RNA is filed under the name uncultured eukaryote. Its description in RNAcentral is "partial 18S ribosomal RNA". It matches the Rfam family "Eukaryotic small subunit ribosomal RNA", at positions 1470 to 1796 of the family's 1831-position model. The record is from RNAcentral.